RNAcentral lists this long non-coding RNA (1097 nucleotides) under Physcomitrium patens. RNAcentral's name for it is "long non-coding RNA (PPAT_LNC014830)". Lineage: Eukaryota; Viridiplantae; Streptophyta; Bryopsida; Funariales; Funariaceae. The record is from RNAcentral.
ACCGCAGGUCCAAAUGCAAGGAGAGGAACAUGUAACGAAUUAUUAAAAGAUUCUAUGCCAUCGCUGAUGGCAAGUUUGAAACGAAAGCACUGUAAUCGUAUAACAGUUUUUUCUUUCUUCUUCGUCUUCUUUGUCUUCUUCUAUUUUUGUUUUCAGUAUACAAUUGUGAUGGUUUAAUGCGAAUAAGGUACCUGUGCGUUUCUGAUGGGGACCGUACCGAGGGAUGAAUCAUUGUGUAGCACCGCAACUAAAUGUGACCACAUAAUAAAGCUCUUGCAUAAACGAUUUUAUAGAAUUUAAGGACUGGUUCUGUAGCUGCGUGAUGUUGCAAAGCUUGAGAGCGAGCCGUCUUGUACUGACUGACUCACAAACAAAGGGUGGGUUUACAUUCCGUCUGGUCAGGUGAGAAAUCUUAGAAUCCAUUCAAUCUUUAAUUUUUGGUUGGGAAGUUAACAGAUUCUCUAGAAUCGUUAGCUUCAUUAGAAAACCACGCAAUGAUUUUUGUUAAUGUUAAAAGGGAAUGACUGCUUGCAUGACAGCACUUUUCCAUGAUCGGAGUCCACUUGGGUUGGUUCUUCAUUCUAUCGAGACACUUCCUGCAGCACCACAACUAUCUUUCCGGAGUUUUAGCCUGUGAUUACUUUCUACGAUUUGGGUCGAAAACAACCCAUUCUGAUCUUGAUCCUUCACUUGUCCGGUUCCAAGUGAUUCAGGUUCCACAGAUUUCGUGAAAUCCACUGAUUCAUUAUCACAGUGGUACAAGGAGCACCUCUUUAUUUGCUUCACGGUGAUAAGUCCACUAGAAAUGUAAACAAGUGAAAGCAACUUUCCUUUUUGAUGCAAACUCACCCAGAAAUAUUAUCACAAUUUGUGAUUCACUGCUCCAUGCCUUCCACGCAAGCUCGUGGCAGUGGAAAAUAUGCACAAAUCCGCUUUGUUCAGCUUCAAGGAUUCAUAUGCUGUUUUAGAUGCCUCUUGUAAUUUUCUAGUAUUUUUCUCUAGCUAUAACAUUUUUAGAAUUAAACAUAUAAUUAUAAUGUUUUAAUGAAAGAAUUCUUUCUAUAAUUUCUGCUAAUAAAAAAAAUGGUUUUUAUUUA